GAAGGGGGCUAGCGUUGCUCGGAAUCACUGGGCGUAAAGCGCACGUAGGCGGGUUGCCAAGUCGGGGGUGAAAUCCUGGAGCUCAACUCCAGAACUGCCUUCGAUACUGGCGAUCUUGGAGUCCGGGAGAGGUGAGUGGAACUGCGAGUGUAGAGGUGAAAUUCGUAGAUAUUCGCAAGAACGCCAGUGGCGAAGGCGGCUCACUGGCCCGGUACUGACGCUGAGGUGCGGAAGCGUGGGGAGCAAACAGGAUUAGAUACCCUGGUAGUCCACGCCGUAAACUAUGGAGGCUAGCCGUUGGACAGCUUGCUGUUCAGUGGCGCAGCUAACGCAUUAAGCCUCCCGCCUGGGGAGUACGGUCGCAAGAUUA
Molecule: ribosomal RNA, 370 nt
Filed under: uncultured bacterium
Lineage: Bacteria
Description: bacterial SSU rRNA
Rfam family: Bacterial small subunit ribosomal RNA
Source: RNAcentral